CUACGGGUCGCUGCAGUGAGGAAUAUUGCACAAUGGGGGGAACCCUGAUGCAGCAACGCCGCGUGGAGGAUGACGCAUUUCGGUGUGUAAACUCCUUUUAUAUGUCAAGAAAAUGACGGUAGCAUAUGAAUAAGCACCGGCUAACUCCGUGCCAGCAGCCGCGGUGAAUACGGAGGGUGCAAGCGUUACUCGGAAUCAUUGGGCGUAAAGGACGCGUAGGCGGGUUGGAAAGUCAGGUGUGAAAUCCUACAGCUUAACUGUAGAACUGCACUUGAAACUUCUAAUCUAGAGUAUGGGAGGGGAGAUGGAAUUAGUGGUGUAGGGGUAAAAUCCGUAGAUAUCACUAGGAAUACCUAAAGCGAAGGCGAUCUCCUGGAACAUUACUGACGCUAAGGCGUGAAAGCGUGGGGAGCAAACAGGAUUAGAUACCCGAGUAGUC
This 439-nucleotide ribosomal RNA is filed under the name uncultured bacterium. RNAcentral describes it as "partial 16S ribosomal RNA". It matches the Rfam family "Bacterial small subunit ribosomal RNA", at positions 339 to 795 of the family's 1533-position model. The record is from RNAcentral.